This is a long non-coding RNA of Papio anubis (olive baboon), 1979 nucleotides long. The record is from Ensembl. Lineage: Eukaryota; Metazoa; Chordata; Mammalia; Primates; Cercopithecidae.
GUUUCUUAACCACUGAGUAAUAUGGUUGCCUGAUGCAAAGUGAUGUAUAUACAGAAAAAAAUUUAAAAAUUAGCUAUAAAAUGAACAUAGUCAUGGCUGGGCGCGGUGGCUCACGCCUGUAAUCCCAGCACUUUGGAAGGCCGAGGCAGGUCGAUCACCUGAGGUCAGUUCAAGACCAGCCUGGCCAACAUGGUGAAACCCAUCUCUACUGAAAAAAAAAAGAAUUAGCCAGGCAAGGUGGUGUACGCUUGUAAUCCCAGCUACUCAGGAGGCUGAGGCAGGAGAAUCGCUUGAACCUGGGAGGCAGAGGUUGCUGUGAGCUGAGAUUAUGCAACUGUACUCCAGCCUGGGUGACAGAGUGAGACUCCAUCUCAAAAAAAGGAAAAGGAACAUAGUCAUGUCCUCUGUUCCUAGAGUUGUUUUGUGAAACACAAAUGGCUUGAUUGAUAUGUGUAGAGCACUGUGUGUAAGAGAAAGGCCUGGCCCCACGGUAAGCUUCUACAUUGUGAUUCUGUUUUUUGCAGAUGACUCAACCAGCAUCCACAAGUGAGGAUAACAGGCAUUGGUUACCUUCAAAUUUAAGAGAAGUUCAUCUCAGUCAGGAUUCAGAACAGAACUCCAGCCGCCCCGGGACCAUCAAGCAACCAGGCGUAGGUGCUCACUGAGACCACUGUCUUCACUGUUUUCCUGCAUUUUCUGCGAAUCACCGUUCAUCACAGGUUUUGACAACAGGAGUGUGAGCAAUGACAAAAAGGCCCGGAGAUUAAAAAGAUGCCUCUGCUGCUCCACAACAUGUCUCAGAAUCUCCUUUCUUGAAAUCACAGGUAACUGAUCACCUUACCAUUGCUAAAGUCUGUUUAAAAGCAGACUUAAAUUGCCAAUGGAGUCAACAGCAAUUAAUUUUACUAUACCCAACAUGAGAAGAACUGAUCAAAAUCCAUGUUUCUAAAGGUCUGACUACAAAAGCAAAUGAUUUAGGCACUGUUCCGUAUCAAGAAUCUUUCAUCAUAACCGUAGAAUAUUGUCUCUAUAAGCCUGUGAAAUGCCAUAGAAAACAUUGGAACAUAAAAUAGUUCCAAUCUAUUAUUUUUAGCAAAAUUAGUGGCAAUGUUUGCUGAUUCUUAGCAAGAUAAAUACCCGUAUCACCUAUGGUUAUUUCUUUCUAGUGUAAUAGUGGUGGGUGAUUGCUGAAGAUAACUUUUUUUUUUUCAAGCCAGAAACUUGAGGGAUCAACUUGUCUUCUCUUUAUCUGUCACAACUUCCUGUCUACCCUUUAACUUUCUCUCUCUGUCUCUCUCUCUCGACAAUUUGAUUGACUCUACAUUAUCACAGUCUUUGGAAUUUUUCAAUUUUAAUUCAUGCUUAUUGUACCUACCAUAUUUCAGAGCACCACCAUCAUUCUCUAAUGUUACCUAACUGGUCUCCUUGCCUUUCUUCUUGAAGCUUCUGCAGUUUAUUUCUGUAUUCAUCACAUGUUAAUCUUGUUUUUAAAUCAAUAAACAUUUUUAAAAAUAGUUUUAAAUUUACAGAAGAAAUGAGCAGAGAGUACAGAGAAUUCUCAUAUUCUCACCCCUGUCCCACAAUUUCUACAGUUAUGAAUAUUUUAUAGUCAUGUGGUUUGUUGUAAUAAACCAAUAUUGAUACAUUAUGAUGAACUAAAGUCCAUGAUUUAAAUUUGGAUUUGCUCUUUGUAUAUUACAGUUCUAUGGGCUUUCACAAAUGCAUGAUGUCAUGUAACCACCCCUUACAGUAUUAUACAGAGUAGUUUUACUGCUCUAGGAAUUUCCAGUUCUUUACUAACUUAUGUCACAGCCCCACUGUGAGCCCCCAGCAACCACUGAUUUUUUACUGCCUCUGUAGGUUUGACUUUCCUAUAAUGUCAUAUAAUUGGAAUCAUACAUUAUGCUGCCUUUUCAGACUGGCUUCUGUCACUUGGCAAUAUGCACGUAAGGUCCCUUCAUCUCCUUUCAUGGCUUGGU